Molecule: ribosomal RNA, 536 nt
Filed under: Trigonopterus sp. 871 AR-2022a
Lineage: Eukaryota; Metazoa; Arthropoda; Insecta; Coleoptera; Curculionidae
Description: partial large subunit ribosomal RNA
Rfam family: Archaeal large subunit ribosomal RNA
Source: RNAcentral
GGCCUAUCGAUUUUUAUUUUAGGUCUGGCCUGCUCGAUGAGGAUUUAAAUGGCCGCGGUAUACUGACCGUGCAAAGGUAGCAUAAUCAUUAGUUUUUUUAUUGAAAGCUAGAAUGAAAGGUUUGAUGAAGAAGAUACUGUCUCUUUGAAAAUUUAUUAGAACUUUAUUUUUAGGUUAAAAAGCUUAAAUUUAAAUAGAAGACGAGAAGACCCUAUAGAGUUUAAUGUUUUUUGAGAUUUAAAAUAUUAGGUUUAAAAUUGGAUUAGAUUUUUUAAAACAUUUUGUUGGGGAGACAAGUAAAUUUGAUUAACUUUAUUUUUAAUAAAACAUUAGUUUAUGAAAAUAUGAUCCUUUAAUUGAGAUUUUAAGAAUAAAUUACCUUAGGGAUAACAGCGUAAUUUUUUAUAGAGUUCUAAUCGAAUAAAAAGUUUGCGACCUCGAUGUUGGAUUAAAAUAAAUUGUUGAUGCAGAAGUUAAUUAAUUGGGUCUGUUCGACCUCUGGGAUUUUACAUGAUCUGAGUUUAAACCGGCGUGAG